Long non-coding RNA from Neopsephotus bourkii (Bourke's parrot), 581 nucleotides. RefSeq lists it as uncharacterized. The transcript is spliced from 2 exons. The record is from RefSeq and is a predicted model, not a curated record. NCBI's taxonomy places the organism in Eukaryota, Metazoa, Chordata, Aves, Psittaciformes, Psittacidae.
CUAACAUCACACUUGGAGAGCAGAACCUGAGAAGGAAACUCAGGGUAUUGCAGUGCAUUGGUGGCUGUUGUCAUGUUCAGGGGUUUCAGGCCUAAGUUAGCCAGUUUCUUAUUGAAAGUUACUCAUGUUUGACUGCUACUAUUUUAUUGCAUCCCAUAGGAUCACUACUACAAAGGAGAAGUUUGCCAGCAGUUUGUUACCGGAGAGCUCUCUAACAUCAGCAUGGAAGGGGGAACAAGACUACGUCAGCCCAUUUCCAGGUCCGCAAGAGGCCAGUGUCAAGCCACGCAGGAUGCAAAAAGGGCUCCCGCUCAGACACAAAUGACUGUUUUCAGGCUAACACUACCACCACAAAGUUGCUAAGAAGAUGCUGUCAGUAGCUAUGAAAGCCUUUCCCACAACCUUCAGCUUUAUUCAGCUCCUGAGCAAACAGAAUGGCAGAGAAGAUGAGAAAAAUCAUAUUUACAAGAGAAAAAAAAAAUAACUUACUUUGGGAUUUUAUUUCAUGAAGAGGUUUUUUAUCUGAGAGAGAGAGAGAGAGAGAGAGAGAAAGUUGCACUUAAUAAAUUUACAUGGAGCAU